RNA transcript from Sceloporus undulatus (fence lizard), 5712 nucleotides. It is a transcript of the gene named EPH receptor A4, with no coding region annotated. The record is from RefSeq and is a predicted model, not a curated record. The transcript is spliced from 18 exons. Lineage: Eukaryota; Metazoa; Chordata; Lepidosauria; Squamata; Phrynosomatidae.
AGGAGGAGGAGGCGGCUACUGGGGAAGCAGCGCCAGCAGCAGCAGCAGCAGCAGCAGCAGCAAAAGCACCAGCGGAGCCGGCGUCCCCAAAGCCCACCAUGGCUGCUGCCUCUGCUGCCUCUGCUGCUGGGAUUGUCUCCGUCGCUCUGGCCUCGCUCCUGGUGGGGAUCUGCGAAGGGGUCACCGGCUCCCGGGUCUAUCCCGCCAAUGAAGUUACUCUGUUGGAUUCCAGAUCAGUUCAGGGUGAGCUUGGUUGGAUAGCAAGUCCAUUGGAAGGAGGGUGGGAGGAAGUGAGCAUUAUGGAUGAGAAAAAUACUCCCAUCCGCACGUAUCAAGUCUGCAAUGUGAUGGAGCCAAGUCAGAACAAUUGGUUACGAACUGAUUGGAUUCCACGAGAAGGGGCUCAGAGGGUUUAUAUUGAAAUCAAGUUCACACUAAGAGACUGCAACAGCCUGCCAGGUGUCAUGGGAACUUGCAAAGAGACUUUUAAUCUCUAUUACUAUGAGUCAAGCAAUGACAAGGAACGCUUUAUUCGGGAAAGCCAGUUUGCAAAGAUUGACACUAUUGCUGCUGAUGAAAGCUUCACGCAGGUGGACAUUGGUGACCGGAUCAUGAAACUCAAUACAGAGAUACGUGAUGUGGGACCACUGAGCAAGAAGGGAUUUUACCUGGCUUUCCAGGAUGUUGGGGCAUGCAUUGCCUUGGUGUCUGUCCGUGUUUUCUACAAAAAGUGUCCAUUGACAGUCCGCAACUUGGCUCAGUUUCCAGACACUAUCACUGGGGCUGAUACCUCUUCUCUGGUGGAAGUUCGUGGUUCAUGUGUCAACAAUUCUGAAGAGAAGGAUGUGCCAAAAAUGUACUGUGGGGCAGAUGGUGAAUGGCUAGUUCCCAUUGGGAACUGCCUAUGCAAUGCUGGGUAUGAAGAGCGUAAUGGAGAAUGCCAAGCUUGCAAGAUUGGAUACUACAAGGCCCUCUCAACAGAUGUUGCCUGUGCUAAAUGCCCACCUCACAGUUUCUCCAUCUGGGAAGGCUCUACCUCUUGCACCUGUGAUCCAGGCUUUUUUCGAUCAGAAAAUGAUGCUGCUGCCAUGCCCUGCACUCGACCUCCUUCUGCUCCUGAAAACCUGAUAUCCAAUGUCAAUGAAACAUCUGUAAAUCUGGAAUGGAGCCCUCCUCAGAACAAAGGUGGCCGUGAGGAUAUUUCCUACAAUGUGGUGUGCAAGAGAUGUGGAGCCAGUGAUCUGAACCGUUGUCGGUCCUGUGGAAGUGGUGUACACUUCAGCCCACAGCAGAAUGGCUUGAAAACUACCAGGGUUUCCAUUACUGACCUUUUGGCACACACUAACUACACCUUUGAAAUUUGGGCAGUGAAUGGAGUAUCCAAGCAGAAUCCAAGCCCAGAUCAGGCUGUUUCUGUCACAGUGACAACUAACCAAGCAGCUCCAUCUCAAAUUGCUUUGAUCCAGGCUAAAGAAAUAACAAGACACAGUGUGGCAUUGGCUUGGCUGGAACCUGACAGACCAAAUGGAGUAAUCUUGGAAUAUGAAGUCAAAUAUUAUGAAAAGGAUCAAAAUGAGCGCAGCUAUCGCAUUGUGAAAACUGCAGCCAGAAACACAGAUAUCAAAGGCUUGAAUCCUUUAACUUCAUAUGUCUUCCAUGUGAGAGCGAGGACAGCAGCUGGGUAUGGAGACUUCAGUGGGCCAUUUGAGUUCACAACAAACACAGUCCCAUCUCCCAUCAUUGGCGAAGGGACCAACCCCACAGUCCUUCUGGUCUCCGUGGCUGGCAGUGUUGUCCUUGUGGUCAUUCUCAUUGCUGCCUUUGUCAUCAGCAGGAGACGGAGCAAGUACAGUAAGGCAAAGCAAGAAGCAGAUGAGGAAAAACAUUUGAAUCAAGGUGUUAGGACAUAUGUAGAUCCCUUCACUUAUGAAGACCCCAACCAAGCUGUGCGGGAAUUUGCCAAAGAAAUUGAUGCUUCUUGCAUAAAGAUUGAAAAAGUCAUUGGUGUUGGUGAAUUUGGUGAAGUUUGCAGUGGCCGUCUCAAGGUUCCAGGAAAGAGGGAGAUCUGUGUUGCUAUCAAAACUCUGAAAGCUGGAUACACAGACAAACAGAGAAGGGACUUCUUGAGUGAAGCCAGCAUCAUGGGACAGUUUGACCACCCCAACAUCAUCCACUUGGAAGGGGUUGUUACAAAAUGCAAACCUGUCAUGAUCAUAACUGAGUAUAUGGAGAAUGGUUCUUUGGAUGCUUUUCUCAGGAAGAAUGAUGGCAGAUUUACUGUAAUCCAGUUGGUUGGAAUGCUUCGUGGCAUUGGCUCUGGAAUGAAGUAUUUGUCUGACAUGAGCUAUGUGCAUCGAGAUCUAGCAGCUCGAAACAUACUUGUCAACAGCAAUUUGGUCUGUAAAGUUUCAGAUUUUGGCAUGUCCCGUGUUCUGGAAGAUGACCCUGAAGCAGCCUAUACUACAAGGGGUGGUAAGAUUCCCAUCAGGUGGACUGCACCAGAAGCAAUUGCCUAUCGUAAAUUUACCUCUGCUAGUGAUGUCUGGAGUUACGGAAUUGUAAUGUGGGAAGUGAUGUCAUAUGGAGAGAGGCCAUACUGGGAUAUGUCCAAUCAGGACGUUAUCAAAGCCAUUGAAGAGGGCUAUCGGCUGCCACCCCCAAUGGACUGUCCAAUCGCACUCCAUCAGUUGAUGCUGGACUGCUGGCAGAAGGAGCGGAGUGACAGGCCUAAAUUUGGACAGAUUGUCAACAUGCUGGACAAACUCAUCCGCAACCCCAACAGCUUGAAGAGGACAGGCUCUGAAAACUCCAGGCCUAAUACUGCUUUGUUGGAUCCAAGUUCUCCUGAAUUCUCUGCUGUAGUUUCUGUUGGAGAUUGGCUCCAAGCUAUUAAGAUGGAGCGAUACAAGGAUAACUUCACAGCUGCUAGCUAUACUACCCUAGAGGCUGUAGUGCAUAUGAACCAGGAUGACCUGUUGAGAAUUGGAAUUACUGCCAUUGCACACCAGAAUAAGAUUCUGAGCAGCGUCCAGGCAAUGAGGACCCAAAUGCAGCAAAUGCAUGGCAGAAUGGUUCCAGUUUGAGCCAGUACUCAAUAAACUCUGAACUCUUGAAAUUAGUUUACCUCAUCCAUGCACUUUAAUUGAAGAACUGCACUUUUUUACUUCUUCUCCUCGCCGUUUGAAAUAAUAAUAUUAAUAAUAAAAAGUGAUUUGCAGCAUUAAUUGAUAUAUAAAGAUUGCUGAGAGUGUUGCGUGGAGAUGACCUACAGAUAUGACAACCCGUCAUUUGAGAACAGGCCUGGAACAAAUUGUUUCAUGGAAUAUACUUCUGUCUGGAUCAACAUUAUGUAAUAUAUCUAUAUAACAUCACAUACAAGUUCUGAUGCUGUGUUUGCUGCCACAUAUUGUGCUUAAAGGAAGGAGAGCACUGUUGUUCCGCCAGCAGCCAUUGGGAUUACAGUCAUUGUGUUUGAUCUGUGGAAUAAACCACAGUUGUGCAUUUUGUAUUGGAAUGAAGAAUCUUCUGUACCAGGAAAUGUUGGCAUACUCUAAGGAUCAAUGGUACCUUGCUGAAAACUUGAGGGAGAGUUUCCUUUGGCUGAUCAGUGUCACUGAAUCGAAGAUCUGUUUAUUUGCAAAUGGAGGCAGAGUGCAACCUUUGUGGAUUACAGGAUUAUUGUUUUUUUGAAAGAGGGAAUUGUGGUUGCUUUUGUGGAAUCCUGACUCACAAUGCCACCCUUUUUGACAACAACUAGUCAGCCAUUAUUGACUAAGGAUCUUCCAGAUGUCCAUCCUUUUGCCUUUCCAAUAGACAACAGAUGGUUCAACACUGUAAAGGGAAAAAUGGAUCCUGCUCUCUUAGACUCAGCCCUUCCUGGUGCCCACCGUGAUCUUGGAGGAUAACAGACCAGAGGCAAAAACUGUCUCGUCUCCCAGUUCUGUUGAUCACUGACUGUAGAGAAGAUGGACUGUUUAUAAACAGCAUAACUUGAAGAGUGUCUCUAUUGCUUUCUUCUUCUACUGGAAAUUUUUUUUAUUGUUGUUGGCAACAAAAACAAAAGACACUAAGGCUCAGAUAUGGUUCUUUCAUUGCCACCUAAGGAAUGUACUGUAUGAAAGCCCUACAGACUUCUUUUUUCUCACUCCAUUUAUUAAAAAAAUAUUUUGGGGGGAUGUUUGUUUUGCUUUUGCAUGUCACUGAUGCAUCUGUAUGAGAGUUAAGUAGCAGAACCCUACAAUUCAGAAGAAUGACAGGGUUAGGUGCCACAGCACAGAACCCAGUUCACAGAAGCUAAGACUACAUUUGACAGUGAAAUGUGCCAUUAUGAUAAUGUCAAUAUUUUUAAUAGAAUGGAAAAUAACUUAUUAUCUCUUCCAGGAAUGUGUGAGUAUGUGUAUUGCCUGGGGGAGGGGGUGUAUGUAUGUGUGCAUGCAUGUAUGUGUGUUUUUUAUGUUGCCUGUUGUGCAGAGCCACCUGUAAACAUGCAGUUUGCAUUUCAAGAUAACUUGACAGUUUCUCACUGAGCUGUUGAGUUACUAGGCCAGUGGGUGAGCUAUGCAACAGUAGCAAGAAAACACACACGCACACACACUCCUGAAUGUUACGGUUCUGUAUCUAUUCUUGUAUUACACAGCUGCCACACUAACCUUAAUAAAUAGUUAUCCAGCCUAGAGUGGGGGCACUUUCACUUUAGUUGUGGAGUGAUCCAUAGUGAGUUCCAUAAUGGUGAUAAAGAACAACAUAGAUGACCAUUAGUCUUGCCACAGCCUGUUCAUUAUUGAAGCAGUGGUACAUUAAGGGAAAGUAGGUGAGAUGAAGUCUUAUGCAUCAUCAGGUUGUUUUGGACUGAACUGAUAUAAACAGCCUUUCCCCCCUCCCUCUUGAAAAGUAAGUUUUGAAAGAUUUGUUGAACACAAACAGAAAUAUACAAUCCUUAUACAUUCCCAGAAGUAAAUUAUUCAGUGGCCUAUCUGCAAGGACUUUGGGCCCAUAAAUUGACUGGUGAGCAAACGCUUUACUUCUUCAUUGAAGUUAAUAAAUAGAUGAAGAUUAGCAAGAAGUUUGUAAAAACACCUGGUGUUCUUAGCAUGGAUAAAUUACUAUCCAAGGCUACAAUAAGAUUUGUUAAAGUAAUGACUUAACUUGUGCUAUGUAGCAGAGUUUGCUGAGUCUGGAGAGUUCACCGUUAAUUUUCUGUGUACUCUGCGUAGAACCAAGCUGAAUGCGGGAGUCUAGGGAAUGGAGAUGCCAUUCUUUAUUUUGAGGUUAGCAGUUGAUGUACUCGACCUGCUUUCUGGUUGCAGAAGACUCUUCCCUACUGAGAUACAAUGCAGCACAGCAAGCUCAAACAGGACAGUCAGACCAACAUGCCUUGGGGGCAAAAACCUCAAGGAGUGUGUAAAUAUUGCAUUAAAAAUGUUUGGCUUUGACUAUAAAUCUAAAAUUGCUCAGGAGUUAGUUUCCAUUCUUGCUUCUUCUUCCCCCCAUCCUUUUCUUUUUCUGUUUUUAGAUUAUUUUUGUUGGUCUGCUGAACACAAAAUUCAAGUUCAAUAUUACUUGCCUCAAGUGGUUGUGAUGGCAUUGCUGUCAAGGAGCCAGAGGGUGUAUACUAUGUACUGCAAACGAGGCUUAUUCCAGUUGCAGCCAAUGUACUAAGCAUGACUUAGACAAAAGAAAAAAAAACAUGAACAUAUACCACCCCCCCCCCCC